UACGACGGGGGCUAGCGUUGUUCGGAAUUACUGGGCGUAAAGCGCACGUAGGCGGAUACUUAAGUCAGGGGUGAAAUCCCGGGGCUCAACCCCGGAACUGCCUUUGAUACUGGGUAUCUCGAGUCCGGAAGAGGUGAGUGGAAUUCCGAGUGUAGAGGUGAAAUUCGUAGAUAUUCGGAGGAACACCAGUGGCGAAGGCGGCUCACUGGUCCGGUACUGACGCUGAGGUGCGAAAGCGUGGGGAGCAAACAGG
This 253-nucleotide ribosomal RNA is filed under the name uncultured bacterium. RNAcentral describes it as "partial 16S ribosomal RNA". It matches the Rfam family "Bacterial small subunit ribosomal RNA", at positions 524 to 776 of the family's 1533-position model. The record is from RNAcentral.